Molecule: long non-coding RNA, 859 nt
Filed under: Gigantopelta aegis
Lineage: Eukaryota; Metazoa; Mollusca; Gastropoda; Neomphalida; Peltospiridae
Description: uncharacterized LOC121384589
Source: RNAcentral
CAUGCAAUGACCUUAUAUUCACAAAGCAUGAACCGGUAGGAAACAUAAAAUCGGAGUUAUAACCCAUUUGUACCCUUUUGCGUUUCUUUUUUUGAAGAGUAUAUAAUAAAUGCCCAAUAUUUUGUCCAUAUCUGGUAGAGCAUGAGCAUACUGGGUAAAUUGUGAAAACGUUGUCAUAACUUUUUAUGAGCAGUAUAUUGAGUUUCUUCAGUGGGGAAUUAAGCUGCAGGUAAAAAGCAUGCAGGCUGUGGGAAAGGUAAAUGUCACCUGUCUGUUCAUCAGUGCAUUUGCCAAGAAGGUUUCCAGCAGGCAAGUUGACUGGGAAAUGGCUCUUAGGAGCUUUUUGGGUUUGAGCGUGAGCCAGAACCACGAGAAUCUUUGGGUUUGAGCGUGAGCCAGAACCAUGAGAAGAAUGUGAGCUACGAGAGCUAUGAUAGCUAUGUGAGCUAUAACUGGGUGUGAGGGAUGACACAGAUGUGACCAGCGGAACUGUAGGAGGACCAUCUGCAAGAGAUGUCUACAGACUAGCGUGGUGGCGGACUGUUGUUAGGAUGUCUGCAAGAGAUGUCAACAGCCAACCAUCCAAGAUGUGCUAGUGUCUGGUCGACAUCAAGAUAUUGAUAGUAUUCGCAAUGACAGUGAAUUUCAGAUGAGUUUAUACUGAUACAAACUGAACUGGUUUAACAUGAUUAUUUAACUAAGGCUCGAACAUUGACUAGAAGCUAGUUGGCUCAGACUGGUUUACCAUGGACACCAGAUUAGUUUUUUGGGGGGUUUAAUUUAAGGUUGGGGUAGUGAUAUUUGGAGUGAAAUCGUCAUUGUGUAUAUUUAUAUUUUGUAUAUACAUUUGUUGAAAUGU